This 254-nucleotide ribosomal RNA is filed under the name uncultured bacterium. RNAcentral describes it as "partial 16S ribosomal RNA". It matches the Rfam family "Bacterial small subunit ribosomal RNA", at positions 524 to 776 of the family's 1533-position model. The record is from RNAcentral.
UACGGGGGGGGCAAGCGUUGUUCGGAUUUACUGGGCGUAAAGGGCGCGUAGGCGGUCAGCACAAGUCAGUUGUGAAAUCUCCGGGCUUAACUCGGAAAGGUCAACUGAUACUGUGCGACUAGAGUGCAGAAGGGGCAACUGGAAUUCUUGGUGUAGCGGUGAAAUGCGUAGAUAUCGAGAGGAACACCAGUGGCGAAGGCGAGUCCCUGGACAACUCCUGACACUGAGGCACGAAAGCUAGGGGAGCAAACAGG